Molecule: long non-coding RNA, 245 nt
Organism: Helianthus annuus (common sunflower)
Lineage: Eukaryota; Viridiplantae; Streptophyta; Magnoliopsida; Asterales; Asteraceae
Exons: 3
Source: RefSeq, a predicted model, not a curated record
GGAACUCUUGAAUGGGAUCCUAUGAGAAGUUGAAGGAAAGAAUCUGAUCAAAUUGGGCCAUAAUCUGAAGAAAUGUGUUUAAGCUACGACAAGGUAUGAUAAAAAAAUAUAAAAGCUGCUCUUCCUGUCUUUUGUUCGCUUCACGUAUCUUCGCUAAAUCAAUAUGUUGGAAGGUUUGUGUAUGUAGAAUUAGUCUGGAUAUGCCCACGAAAAAAAAUGCCGAUUUAUAUUGUAUUUCUCAUGAC